Molecule: ribosomal RNA, 253 nt
Filed under: uncultured bacterium
Lineage: Bacteria
Description: partial 16S ribosomal RNA
Rfam family: Bacterial small subunit ribosomal RNA
Source: RNAcentral
UACAUGGGGUGCAAACGUUGCUCGGAAUUAUUGGGCGUAAAGCGCACGUAGGUGGUCUGUUAUGUCAGAUGUGAAAGCCCUCGGCUUAACUGAGGAAGUGCACCUGAAACUGGCAGGCUUGAGUACGAAAGAGGGUCGCGGAAUUCCCGGUGUAGAGGUGAAAUGCGUAGAUAUCGGGAGGAACACCUGUGGCGAAAGCGGCGCACUGGACCACAACUGACGCUGAGGCGCGAAAGCUAGGGGAGCAAACAGG